UCGCGUGAUUCAACAACAACCUUUCAUCUUGGGGGCUCGUCCGGGAUCCUUCAGGACAAGCUUGGGAGGAUCUAAAGGAUAAACUGCUGGGUCUGUGGAGCGCUCCCCUCUUCGUCAGUGGAAGGCUUCCCGUGGUGGACAUCCCCACUUCAAGGAAAAGACUUUCUCCAGGUCUGUGAAUACCUUCGACAACAAUCACAUGCAAUGCCUAUUCUUCAUCUGAUGACGUCUACCAACCCUAAAAUGGACUGGUGCAACACUUUGCACUUUAACUAUGGACAUAAUGUGACUUUUAAUUAUGAUUCUGAAUGUUGUGUUUUUGCUGUUUGCUCCCUGCAUCUGUAA
Long non-coding RNA from Bubalus bubalis (water buffalo), 345 nucleotides. RefSeq lists it as uncharacterized. The record is from RefSeq and is a predicted model, not a curated record. NCBI's taxonomy places the organism in Eukaryota, Metazoa, Chordata, Mammalia, Artiodactyla, Bovidae. The transcript is spliced from 2 exons.